GAUGAACGCUAGCGGCAGGCCUAACACAUGCAAGUCGAGGGGUAACAUAGAGAAGCUUGCUUUUCUGAUGACGACCGGCGCACGGGUGCGUAACGCGUAUGCAACCUACCUCUUACUGGGGAAUAGCUCGAAGAAAUUCGGAUUAAUGCCCCAUAGUAUUUGCUUUUCGCAUGAUUAGCAAAUUAAAGGUUACGGUAAGAGAUGGGCAUGCGUCCCAUUAGCUAGAUGGUAAGGUAACGGCUUACCAUGGCAACGAUGGGUAGGGGGCCUGAGAGGGUGAUCCCCCACACUGGUACUGAGACACGGACCAG
Molecule: ribosomal RNA, 311 nt
Filed under: uncultured bacterium
Lineage: Bacteria
Description: bacterial SSU rRNA
Rfam family: Bacterial small subunit ribosomal RNA
Source: RNAcentral